Molecule: microRNA precursor, 82 nt
Filed under: Ornithorhynchus anatinus (platypus)
Lineage: Eukaryota; Metazoa; Chordata; Mammalia; Monotremata; Ornithorhynchidae
Description: mir-221 microRNA precursor family
Rfam family: mir-221 microRNA precursor family
Source: Rfam by way of RNAcentral
CCCCUCAAUCGCUCAGUAGUCAGUGUAGAUCCUGUAUUCUAAUCAGCAGCUACAUCUGGCUACUGGGUCUCUGAGGGUACCU